UACAUGCAAGUCGAGCGAUCCCUUCGGGGAUAGCGGCGGACGGGUGAGUAACACGUAGGCAACCUGCCUGUAAGAUCGGGAUAACUACCGGAAACGGUAGCUAAAACCGAAUAGGUGAAACGCUCGCAUGAGCGAAUCAAGAAACACGGCGCAAGCUGUGGCUUACAGAUGGGCCUGCGGCGCAUUAGCUAGUAGGUGAGGUAACGGCUCACCUAGGCGACGAUGCGUAGCCGACCUGAGAGGGUGAACGGCCACACUGGGACUGAGACACGGCCCAGACUCCUACGGGAGGCAGCAGUAGGGAAUCUUCCGCAAUGGACGCAAGUCUGACGGAGCAACGCCGCGUGAGUGAUGAAGGUUUUCGGAUCGUAAAGCUCUGUUGCCCUAGACGAACAGCAUGGGGAGUCACUGCCCUGUGUGUGACGGUAUAGGAGAAGAAAGCCCCGGCUAACUACGUG
Molecule: ribosomal RNA, 458 nt
Filed under: uncultured bacterium
Lineage: Bacteria
Description: bacterial SSU rRNA
Rfam family: Bacterial small subunit ribosomal RNA
Source: RNAcentral